Molecule: long non-coding RNA, 1868 nt
Organism: Limanda limanda (common dab)
Lineage: Eukaryota; Metazoa; Chordata; Actinopteri; Pleuronectiformes; Pleuronectidae
Exons: 4
Source: RefSeq, a predicted model, not a curated record
UGCGGUGUGGGGACCAAAAUGCCGGUCCCCAUGAGGAUUACCCUUUUAAAUGAAUACUAUAGCUACUCUGAAGGUGCCUGUGAAGUUUGAAGCAUUGGCCCAUAUUACAUGUUUUUUGGUAAAUGUUAGUGUGUGAGCAUUGCUCAGUAGUGUCCCUACUUUUUCUAGCUAGUACUGCACCCACUGCUUCACACACACACAUCUUCCAAAUAUGGUUGGGUGCCACCCACUUCCUGGUCCCCAUUAGUAAUGAUUAAAGCAGCGAUGACAUUUUCAGCAAUCAACAGUAAAAGAAGACUUUUUGCUGGAGAAACUAGCUAAGAAGAUAAGAACUUGUGCAGAGGAGCAAAAGUAAGACAUAAGGUAAGCACAGUUGUAUCUUAAAUAAGUAUAAGCAGUGUUGAACCCUCAAAUUACAUUAAUUACCAUUACCUAGCUAGCAUGAUUAAUAGCUCUGAUUAGCUACAAAGGCUAAGUGUAUGACCUCAAAUGUUUUACUGCGUUUCUCUAACUACUUGCAAGCAUGAUGCAUAUGUGAAGGAGUUUAUGUGCAGAGGAAAUGUAACCUGGCUGCUCUGGAUAACCUCUAUUUGGAAGCUGGUUAUGAACAGGCCCUUUAAACUUUUCUUAUUUAACAAUGGGCACGUUCAUGUGGAAGAGGCAGAGCAGGUUAUUAAAGCAUCAUGGUCAGAGGCAUACAUCUGGAAUUAAAUGAUAGAAGGAGGAUUCAGGAUAAUGUGGACAUGUCCAAAUGCUUGUAACAUUGGUGUACAUGCAAAACAAAAUACAAUGACUAUUAUUUUGCCAUCAUCUUCGAUGUGCUGUAAACAAAAAUACUAUGCUCUCUGCUACUGAAUGUGUACAUCAUGUCAUGCCUCUGGCUUGCUCUACCCAGGCACGUCCUCCUGUCUGAAUUCUCCUGCUGUUUUCUUUAUAUGUGAAAGCCAUACUCCUUCACAAUUAUUCAGACAUUAUCAUUUCUCAUUUAAGCUGUUUUCAGGCAUGACCUGCAGGUAAAAUCCAAAUAAUUGGCUACAGUAUUGACCCAGUUUACCUUUCACACAUGCACAAGACAGAUAUACAGUACAUAUGUUUGUAUGUGUGUAAAGUUUAUGCAACAACGCACAAGAGUAUGCAUCACCCUGUAGGCAGAAACUAUACUCAUGACAAAGAGUAAAGGAGAAGGUUUCUGUAGUUGAAUUUUGCAAGAAAAACAACCCUCAUGAGGAUUGAGGCAACAACAGCAAUUUUUAAUACCACCAGUCUUACUAAGCAAGUAAACAAUUUUUUUUUAAUCUUUUCCUGCAGAAAUGGCACCAUGCAUCAGCCCCUUUCAGGAUGCAAUUCAACAUGUUAUUUCACAGACUGACAAAAUCUGCAAAUUAGAGGUCCAGUAUAUUAAUGCAGUAAAAGGACGUGGCGUAUUUGCAAAGGGUACAAUUUGUAAAGGAGACUUUGUUGUACAAUAUAGGGGGGAUAUGAUAAGUGAUGCAGAAUCACAGAGAAGGAGAAAACUUUACCACCCCUCAUGUGCUGCAUUCAUGUUUGCCUUCAAGUGGAGAGGGAAAACAUGGUGUGUUGAUGCCUCCAGAGAAGAUGGCUCAAUUGGGCGACUAGUUAAUGAUGAACACAGACGUCCUAACUCGAAAAUGAAAAAAAUGUAUGUUAAUGGAGUACCCCACCUUUGUGUAUUUGCCCUGGAUGACAUCAAAGAAGGAGAAGAAAUCACCUAUGAUUAUGGAGGUGAAGACUGCCCAUGGCGAACACAAACGACCAGCAUCACUGUUGACACCAUGGAGGAGGAUGACUCUGAUCCUGUCCACUCAGAGAGUCUGAUAGAUGGUGCCUUUGCGCCAAAGACCACACCU